Non-coding RNA from Triticum aestivum (bread wheat), 125 nucleotides. The record is from Rfam. Lineage: Eukaryota; Viridiplantae; Streptophyta; Magnoliopsida; Poales; Poaceae.
CAAAUACUCCUUCCGUCCGAAAUUACUUGUCACGAAAAUGGAUAAAAAUAGAUGUAUUUAUAACUAAAAUACGUCUAGAUACAUCCAUUUCUCGGACAAGUAUUUAGGAACAGAGGGAGCAACAU